GACGGAGGAUGCAAGUGUUAUCCGGAAUCACUGGGCGUAAAGCGUCUGUAGGUGGUUUAAAAAGUCUACUGUUAAAGAUCGAAGCUCAACUUCGAAGAUGUCGUAGAAACUCUUAAACUUGAGUAUGGUAGGGGUAGAGGGAAUUUCCAGUGGAGCGGUGAAAUGCGUAGAUAUUGGAAAGACCACCAAUGGCGAAGGCACUCUACUGGGCCAUUACUGACACUGAGAGACGAAAGCUAGGGGAGCAAACGGG
This 253-nucleotide ribosomal RNA is filed under the name uncultured bacterium. RNAcentral describes it as "partial 16S ribosomal RNA". It matches the Rfam family "Bacterial small subunit ribosomal RNA", at positions 524 to 776 of the family's 1533-position model. The record is from RNAcentral.